CUUUCCUACGGGGGGCAGCAGUGAGGAAUAUUGGUCAAUGGGCGGAAGCCUGAACCAGCCAAGUCGCGUGAGGGAAUAAGGCCCUACGGGUCGUAAACCUCUUUUGCCGGGGAGCAAGGGCGGGGACGUGUCCCGGCCCGGAGAGUACCCGGAGAAAAAGCAUCGGCUAACUACGUGCCAGCAGCCGCGGUAAUACGUAGGGAGCGAGCGUUGUCCGGAAUUACUGGGUGUAAAGGGAGAGUAGGCGGGCGAGAAAGUUG
RNAcentral lists this ribosomal RNA (260 nucleotides) under uncultured bacterium. RNAcentral describes it as "partial 16S ribosomal RNA". It matches the Rfam family "Bacterial small subunit ribosomal RNA", at positions 334 to 590 of the family's 1533-position model. The record is from RNAcentral.